This 253-nucleotide ribosomal RNA is filed under the name uncultured bacterium. RNAcentral's name for it is "partial 16S ribosomal RNA". It matches the Rfam family "Bacterial small subunit ribosomal RNA", at positions 524 to 776 of the family's 1533-position model. The record is from RNAcentral.
UACGUAGGGGGCAAGCGUUGUCCGGAAUCAUUGGGCGUAAAGCGCGUGUAGGCGGUUCUGUAAGUCUGCUGUGAAAGUCGGAGGCUCAACCUUCGAAAGCCGGUGGAUACUGUGGAACUAGAGUGCGGAAGAGGCAAGUGGAAUUCCUGGUGUAGCGGUGAAAUGCGCAGAUAUCAGGAGGAACACCAACGGCGAAGGCAGCUUGCUGGUACGUAACUGACGCUGAGACGCGAAAGCGUGGGGAGCAAACAGG